This is a long non-coding RNA of Oreochromis niloticus (Nile tilapia), 432 nucleotides long. RefSeq lists it as uncharacterized. NCBI's taxonomy places the organism in Eukaryota, Metazoa, Chordata, Actinopteri, Cichliformes, Cichlidae. The record is from RefSeq and is a predicted model, not a curated record. The transcript is spliced from 3 exons.
CUUUAACUCUAAGCUCUCUUCUUCCUCUCCUUCUUUAUCAUCUGUGUCCAGCUCUGAGUGAACUCAGCUCUCUGUCUUUCUCCCCGUCACAUACAACAGCUGGACCUUUAGUUGCAGCACACUGUGAGCACGAUGCAGCAGCAGACUGAACCAGGACUCAAACCUGCUCCAUCAUCUCAUCUUUGAGAGCACCAACACCUCAAGGGACUGAAUAUAAGAGCUGAGGAUUAUCUGAGUACUUCUAACAUUACACAAAGCAAAGGACUGGGUUCAUGGUGGAGCUCUGAAGAUUUCCCUGUGAGGGAGCUGCUGGUGGAGAUCAUGAGUCCUGCUUGAUCCCUGUGAUGAGCUUCAGUCUUCCUGAUGUUUCUGAAAUGAUGCUUCUCUCAGUGGGACAACAGAACAUCUGGCACAGGACAGCUGUGACGAAAG